AAGAACAAGUACCGUUCGAAUAGGGCGGUACCUUGACGGUACCUAACCAGAAAGCCACGGCUAACUACGUGCCAGCAGCCGCGGUAAUACGUAGGUGGCAAGCGUUGUCCGGAAUUAUUGGGCGUAAAGCGCGCGCAGGCGGUCUUUUAAGUCUGAUGUGAAAGCCCACGGCUCAACCGUGGAGGGUCAUUGGAAACUGGAGGACUUGAGUGCAGAAGAGGAGAGUGGAAUUCCACGUGUAGCGGUGAAAUGCGUAGAUAUGUGGAGGAACACCAGUGGCGAAGGCGGCUCUCUGGUCUGUAACUGACGCUGAGGCGCGAAAGCGUGGGGAGCAAACAGGAUUAGAUACCCUGGUAGUCCACGCCGUAAACGAUGAGUGCUAGGUGUUGGGGGGUUCCACCCUCAGUGCUGAAGUUAACACAUUAAGCACUCCGCCUGGGGAGUACGACCGCAAGGUUGAAACUCAAAGGAAUUGACGGGGGCCCGCACAAGCAGUGGAGCAUGUGGUUUAAUUCGAAGCAACGCGAAGAACCUUACCAGGUCUUGACAUCCUCUGACAAUCCUGGAGACAGGACGUUCCCCUUCGGGGGACAGAGUGACAGGUGGUGCAUGGUUGUCGUCAGCUCGUGUCGUGAGAUGUUGGGUUAAGUCCCGCAACGAGCGCAACCCUUGAUCUUAGUUGCCAGCAUUUAGUUGGGCACUCUAAGGUGACUGCCGGUGACAAACCGGAGGAAGGUGGGGAUGACGUCAAAUCAUCAUGCCCCUUAUGACCUGGGCUACACACGUGCUACAAUGGACGGUACAAAGGGCAGCAACACCGCGAGGUGAAGCGAAUCCCAUAAAGCCGUUCUCAGUUCGGAUUGCAGGCUGCAACUCGCCUGCAUGAAGCCGGAAUUGCUAGUAAUCGCGG
Molecule: ribosomal RNA, 910 nt
Filed under: Bacillus sp. DCR_F31
Lineage: Bacteria; Bacillati; Bacillota; Bacilli; Caryophanales; Bacillaceae
Description: bacterial SSU rRNA
Rfam family: Bacterial small subunit ribosomal RNA
Source: RNAcentral